GACGAACGCUGGCGGCGUGCUUAACACAUGCAAGUCGAGCGGUAAGGCCCUUUCGGGGGUACACGAGCGGCGAACGGGUGAGUAACACGUGGGUGACCUGCCCUCAGCUCUGGGAUAAGCCUGGGAAACCGGGUCUAAUACCGGAUAUGACUCCAUGACGCAUGUUGUGGGGUGGAAAGCCUUGUGCGGCUGAGGAUGGGCCCGCGGCCUAUCAGCUUGUUGGUGGGGUGAUGGCCUACCAAGGCGACGACGGGUAGCCGGCCUGAGAGGGUGACCGGCCACACUGGGACUGAGACACGGCCCAGACUCCUACGGGAGGCAGCAGUGGGGAAUAUUGGACAAUGGGCGAAAGCCUGAUCCAGCAACGCCGCGUGAGGGAUGACGGCCUGG
Molecule: ribosomal RNA, 390 nt
Filed under: uncultured bacterium
Lineage: Bacteria
Description: bacterial SSU rRNA
Rfam family: Bacterial small subunit ribosomal RNA
Source: RNAcentral